AAUCAACGCUGGCGGCGCGCUUAACACAUGCAAGUCGAACGAGAAAGGGGAGCAAUCUCCGAGUAAAGUGGCGUACGGGUGAGUAACACGUGGGUAAUCUACCUCUUGGUGGGGAAUAACCCUGGGAAACCGGGGCUAAUACCGCAUAAGUCUGAAAAGAGAAAGGCGCAAGUCGCCGGGAGAGGAGCCCGCGGCCGAUUAGCUAGUUGGUAGGGUAAAGGCCUACCAAGGCGAAGAUCGGUAGCCGGCCUGAGAGGGCACACGGCCACACUGGCACUGAAACACGGGCCAGACUCCUACGGGAGGCAGCAGUGGGGAAUCUUGCACAAUGGGGGAAACCCUGAUGCAGCGACGCCGCGUGAGCGAUGAAGCCCUUCGGGUGUAAGACUCUUUCGGCAGGAACGAAUAAUGACGGUACCUGAAGAAGAAGCUGCGGCUAACUACGUGCCAGCAGCCGCCGUAAU
RNAcentral lists this ribosomal RNA (464 nucleotides) under uncultured bacterium. RNAcentral describes it as "bacterial SSU rRNA". It matches the Rfam family "Bacterial small subunit ribosomal RNA", at positions 32 to 524 of the family's 1533-position model. The record is from RNAcentral.